GGAUUGAACGCUGGCGGCAUGCCUAACACAUGCAAGUCGAACGGGAGUAGCAAUACUCUAGUGGCGGACGGGUGAGGAAUACGUAGGAAUUUGCCCUUAAGUGGGGGAUAACCCGGGGAAACCCGGAUUAAUACCGCAUGACCUCGAAAGAGCAAAGUGGGGGAUCGCAAGACCUCACGCUUUUGGAGAAGCCUACGUCGGAUUAGCUAGUUGGUGAGGUAAUGGCUCACCAAGGCGACGAUCCGUAACUGGUCUGAGAGGAUGAUCAGUCACACCGGAACUGAGACACGGUCCGGACUCCUACGGGAGGCAGCAGUGGGGAAUAUUGGACAAUGGGCGCAAGGCCUGAUCCAGCAAUGCCGCGUGUGUGAAGAAGGCCUUGGGUUGUAAAGCACGUUAAGUUAGGAAGAAAAAUACGCUACUAACAACACGUGAGUACUUAGUACGGACCGUAACAGAAUAACGCAACCGCUAACUCUCG
RNAcentral lists this ribosomal RNA (481 nucleotides) under uncultured soil bacterium. Its description in RNAcentral is "bacterial SSU rRNA". It matches the Rfam family "Bacterial small subunit ribosomal RNA", at positions 27 to 506 of the family's 1533-position model. The record is from RNAcentral.